CGGGUCGAGCUUUAAAGCAGGUUGAUGUUUACUUGAAUGAAAAGCGGAAGUGAAAUUGUCUUCUCUCCUCCGCUAGGGUAAGAGUCUAAAUCCAGCGUCUGAAAUACACUUUAUGUAAUGCCACGACAGGUCAUCAAUAAAAAGUUGAUGUAUUAAACUUGUAAAUAGAACCUGCUUAUACUGGUAAACUGAUAUGGUAGAGUGAAAGACCAGUGCCUUCCAUUCAAGAUAUGCAACGAGGUGCAAUUCAUUUUAUCACUGACAAGCGCUGGAAAGAUAUUUCUUUUAAUGUUGUGAAGAUUUGAUGGGAGGAAGCAUCAUCAGCAAGGAUACAAUGUCAAAGUGCAUGGCAGCAAUACAGAAUGCUUAAGAUAGCUGCAACGUCAAUGCUAUGAGUACAAUGUCAAAAAUGGGUAUGAAUCAAGGAAAGGUUUUAGCAAAGAAAACUGAAGCAGUGAAUGAAGAUAAGUGAAUGAAGGAAAUUGUGCGCAAAGAAAAAUAUUCAAAGGAAGAUAAAAGAUAAACAGAAUUCAAAAUGGUGAUACUUCGAGGCACGGUCGACCAUUCAUUUCCACAACUGUUUUCCACAAUCGGCCAAGCAGUCGCAGCAACCACCGUGAUUGUGUCAAUUGGCAAGAUAUUCACCCAGUAUUACUUCAUCUUUGUGAUGGCUGCAAUAUUGCUCGUCAUAGGAACAUUCUCAUACAUUGACGUUAUUCUGAAUAGCCCACAGGCCAAACGUAGUCAAUUACAAAACUAUAUGUACAGUGUUUACGAAAGAUACACAGGGAAAGAAGUCGAAUCCGCACUGUACAGUUUAACGGAACAGCAAGCUAAAAUCCUCACCACCGGAAUACCGAAGAAUCUGGCUGGAAUACAAAUGCAUGCAAACAAACUAACUAGAUUUGGGGAUCGAAUACAAAUCUAGCCGAAACGCCAAAACUAAAACGAAAGCAAAAGCGACCUUGAAUUUGAUUACAAAUUGAUCGUAAAUAACGUUGAACUUGAACAAUCUUCUGGUUUGUCCGCAAGCUUGACCGUGAAAGUUUGUCGUUGGAUGGUUUGCGAAAACAUGGUGUUGCCUGUGGCUGUAAAGAAGCCAGAAAGAAUCAGCAGCUUCUAAAAUAUAUGAUGUGUAGUCUGCAGUAGGCGGUAGGAUUGUCAUUGACAUUGUAAUAACAAUUGUCACUGUUUUCAAAAC
Molecule: long non-coding RNA, 1201 nt
Organism: Rhopilema esculentum
Lineage: Eukaryota; Metazoa; Cnidaria; Scyphozoa; Rhizostomeae; Rhizostomatidae
Source: RefSeq, a predicted model, not a curated record